GACGAACGCUGGCGGCGUGCUUAACACAUGCAAGUCGAACGAGAAGAGAUGAGAAGCUUGCUUCUUAUUGAUUCGAGUGGCAAACGGGUGAGUAACGCGUAAGCAACCUGCCCUUCAGAUGGGGACAACAGCUGGAAACGGCUGCUAAUACCGAAUACGUUCUUUUUGUCGCAUGGCAGAGGGAAGAAAGGGAGGCUCUUCGGAGCUUUCGCUGAAGGAGGGGCUUGCGUCUGAUUAGCUAGUUGGAGGGGUAACGGCCCACCAAGGCGACGAUCAGUAGCCGGUCUGAGAGGAUGAACGGCCACAUUGGGACUGAGACACGGCCCAGACUCCUACGGGAGGCAGCAGUGGGGAAUAUUGGGCAAUGGGGGGAACCCUGAUGCAGCGACGCCGCGUGGAGGAAGAAGGUCUUCGGAUUGUAAAACUCCUGUUGUUAGGGACGAUAAUGACGGUACCUAACAAGGAAGCACCGGCUAACUACGUGCCAGCAGCCG
This 494-nucleotide ribosomal RNA is filed under the name uncultured bacterium. RNAcentral describes it as "bacterial SSU rRNA". It matches the Rfam family "Bacterial small subunit ribosomal RNA", at positions 28 to 517 of the family's 1533-position model. The record is from RNAcentral.